This 108-nucleotide small nucleolar RNA is filed under the name Theobroma cacao (cacao). RNAcentral describes it as "Plant small nucleolar RNA R71". It matches the Rfam family "Plant small nucleolar RNA R71". Rfam says of the family: R71 is a member of the C/D box family of snoRNAs containing the C (UGAUGA) and D (CUGA) box motifs. Multiple nearly identical copies of this snoRNA have been identified in Arabidopsis, and it is thought to function as a 2'-O-ribose methylation guide for 18S ribosomal RNA. Lineage: Eukaryota; Viridiplantae; Streptophyta; Magnoliopsida; Malvales; Malvaceae. The record is from Rfam by way of RNAcentral.
AAGAUCAUGAUGUAGGCAUCUUCGAUGCAAGUCUUUAUACCUCUCCCAAACUUCAUAUAAAGACUCAGAAUCCAACUGCAUGAAAGAAGUAAUAUCGUUCCUUAUCUU